Molecule: ribosomal RNA, 75 nt
Filed under: Erysiphe deutziae
Lineage: Eukaryota; Fungi; Ascomycota; Leotiomycetes; Helotiales; Erysiphaceae
Description: partial 28S ribosomal RNA
Rfam family: Eukaryotic large subunit ribosomal RNA
Source: RNAcentral
UGACCUCGAAUCAGGUAGGAAUACCCGCUGAACUUAAGCAUAUCAAUAAGCGGAGGAAAAGAAACCAACCGGGAU